AUUAGCCCUGAGCUAACAUCUGCCGCCAAUCCUCCUGUUUUCACUGAGGAAGACUGGCCCUGAGCUAACAUCGAUGCUCAUCUUCCUCUACUUUAUAGGCGGGAUGCCUGCCACAGCAAGGCUUGACAAGCAGUGUGCAGGAAGUGGCAGAUCUGAAGAGCUGAAAUGUAAUGUAAUAUGCUGACUCGUUUGCCUGAUGGAUGUGUGACUGCCCUCUGUUGGAUGAAAUUAGAUCUGCUCUUAUAUGUUAGACUGUCUUGCCCUCUAGUGGUUUGUGCAGAAGAUAGUAAUGAAGACAUUGGAGAAUACUGCAUGAAGAAUCAGUGACUGGGUCGCCCUCGGGUUUAUAGCUCUCAGUUUUGUCCACACUGAGCCUCCAUCAACUCAUCAAUCACAGCUCUGGCUUUCCUGCCCCGGCCCUGCUUCCUGUGGUGGUUUUAGCUGUGAAUCUCUGCUCUGGACGAACACGUCUUGUCUUUUCGACUCUGUUCUCAUUGCAACAAACACAGGAAAGGAGAAGAAAGGGACACAGCCCCCGGGCUCACUUGUGAGGAAGAUUAGCUCUGAGCUAACAUCUACCACCAAUCCUCCUCUUCUUUUGCUGAGGAAGACUGGCCCUGAGCUAACAUCUGUGCCCAUCUUCCUCUACUUUAUAUGUGGGACACCUACCACGGCAUGGCUUGACAAGCGGUGCCAUGUCUGCACCCAGGAUCCAAACUGGCGAACCCCGGGCUGCCAAAGCAGAACGUGCACACUUAACCAUUGCGCCACCAGGUCGGCCCCCAUAGAUAUUUUGAAUAUUGAGGGUCAGAGAUCUGAAUCUAAAUCUUGUUUCAGAUUUCCACAAUUUCCUUUAAAGGAGUAGAGCUAAUCUCCUGAGAAACAACAUAGGGUGGCAAUUUCCACAAAAUCUGUAAUAAUCUGAUUUCCUCUUAGAGCAUUCCAAAUAUGUAUAGGAUGAUAUCUGGAAGGUACUAUAGACCAUGAACUCUACGCACAAUAAAUUAAAAGAAACACAAAGUCUACAUUUUGUUUUAGUUUGUCUUUAUGGUAAAUGGUGUGAAAUGAUU
RNAcentral lists this long non-coding RNA (1070 nucleotides) under Equus caballus (horse). RNAcentral's name for it is "lncRNA (ENSECAG00000031605.3)". Lineage: Eukaryota; Metazoa; Chordata; Mammalia; Perissodactyla; Equidae. The record is from RNAcentral.